CUGCUGCCUUCCGUAGGAGUUUGGGCCGUGUCUCAGUCCCAAUGUGGCCGUUCACCCUCUCAGGCCGGCUACUGAUCGUCGCCUUGGUGGGCCGUUACCCCUCCAACCAGCUAAUCAGACGCGGGUCCAUCCUGUACCACCGGAGUUUUUCACACUGUACCAUGCGGUACUGUGCGCUUAUGCGGUUUUAGCACCUAUUUCUAAGUGUUAUCCCCUGUACAGGGCAGGUUACCCACGCGUUACUCACCCGUCCGCCACUAAGAUAAA
RNAcentral lists this ribosomal RNA (267 nucleotides) under uncultured bacterium. RNAcentral's name for it is "partial 16S ribosomal RNA". The record is from RNAcentral.